RNAcentral lists this ribosomal RNA (253 nucleotides) under uncultured bacterium. Its description in RNAcentral is "partial 16S ribosomal RNA". It matches the Rfam family "Bacterial small subunit ribosomal RNA", at positions 524 to 776 of the family's 1533-position model. The record is from RNAcentral.
UACGGGGGGGGCAAGCGUUGUUCGGAAUUACUGGGCGUAAAGGGCUCGUAGGCGGCCAACUAAGUCGGACGUGAAAUCCCCAGGCUCAACCUGGGAACUGCGUCUGAUACUGGAUGGCUUGAAUCCGGGAGAGGGAUGCAGAAUUCCAGGUGUAGCGGUGAAAUGCGUAGAUAUCUGGAGGAACACCGGUGGCGAAGGCGGCAUCCUGGACCGGUAUUGACGCUGAGGCGCGAAAGCCAGGGGAGCAAACGGG